Acinonyx jubatus (cheetah) is the source of this 4642-nucleotide long non-coding RNA. RefSeq lists it as uncharacterized. NCBI's taxonomy places the organism in Eukaryota, Metazoa, Chordata, Mammalia, Carnivora, Felidae. The transcript has 2 exons. The record is from RefSeq and is a predicted model, not a curated record.
GAGAAAAUCCCAAGCAGUCUCCGCAGGGUCAGCGCAGAGCCCAAUAUGGGGCUCGAUCGGACGAAACUGUGAGAUCAUGACCUGAGCCGAAAUCAGAAUCAGGAGUCGAAUGCUUAACUGACUGAGCCACCCAGGCACCCCAACACUGACAUUGCUUUCUAAACUAAGAAAGAACAAGGUGGUAUCUCCUAUGUUAGAAGAAAGACUGCAAUCCUAGCUUACUUGUUCUUUAGAACGUAUCAGAAAAAGGGUUGCCCUAUGGAGAAGCGAUCAAAAACCAUGACACCAAAGUAAAUUUUUUUAAAUUAAAAAAAAAAAAAGAGAAGUGUUGUACGUUUGGCAGGCAAUACAGGAAAGCAUUAUUUUCUGGGUUUUGUAAUGUCGCCAAUAUUUAGACUUUUUCUUAACGCCACAGUUUGCCACUUUUGAACCGACAUUUGUUUUUGCAGUUUUAAUUUUUUCCUCAAAGCGGUCUUCAAAUUUGUGGCAGUUUCAGACCCCGUGAAAUGUAGAUUGGCACUUGUGGCCAGGCAUCAACUCAUCCUGUCCCCACCCCUACCCCUCAGCCACCUGGGCACCUGGGAUCUUGUGGGCCCCAUAGUCCCAGGUGCCCCCAAAAGGGCAAUACACAUGUGCCCAAUGAAUGGAUAAAUGUUUUGUUAUUAUUGGUGGUUGUCAUUAUUACUGUUAGCAACAAAAAGGAGAGGAAGAGGUUCCUGACAUUUUGUUGAGGAAGUUAGGACGAGGGUGGCUUUGAACUUGUAACACUAAGUUGGAAGCUGAACUUGCACACCUGUGGGAUAUACUCUGGAGCAGAAGCACUAAAGACAGUGCCUACAUUCCGAAUCGUCCACCUUCAUCUUUGGAUAAGCCUGCUCCCGAGGACUCUGAUGGAGAGGGCCAGGAGGGAGAAAAGUCACAGGCGCCUCAGGGAUGUGGGAAUCUCCGGAAGCCACUGGAGGCCACUCUGUAGGUGUGGCCUGGGAGCCCAGAGGCUGCUGACUGGAUUCCUGCUUCCCAGGAGCUGCCUCCUGACUCCCCUGGAUGCUGCAGCUGUCCCCUGAGGUCCCCAGAACCCAUCAUGAUACACAGCGCAUGGCGGGAAUUUGAUACGAAUUUGCUGAUUGAAUCCAUGGCACCCUUUGAGAUGCGGUUCUGUUGGUUUUGAAUGUCUGUGGUCUUCAAGAUCCGCUACAACCGAGACUCUUCACCGAGGGUCUAGGAAGCCCCUGAAACUGGAUGUAAACUACAGGCUCACGUGUGCUUUUCAGGGGGAGGCAUCUACAGAACUCACCAUAUUCUCUAUACUGUUUAAGGCCCCCAAGAAAUCGAGAAACACUGGGAAAAACGAAGAAGCAUGUGCCACUGGGAAAGUCAUCCUAAACCACUGUUUUACAGAGAGCGGCACUCCAGGGGCGGGAGGAGCCUUGGGAUGGUCCAGUGGGGCUAAGCCGACAGACCCAAACAGAUGCCUGAGGACCCAGACAGAUGCCUGGAUGGGAAAAACGUGAGGUCCCAGGACAUCGUCUGUCCUGCACUUUCCCUGGGAUGGACCACAAAAAGUCUUCAGACUUAAGUGCUUAUUGUAUAACCAAUACCUGUUCAUUUAUCCGUCACUGACUGAGGGCUCAGUCUGUGCCAAGCUCUGUGCUAGAUGCUGGGGACAUGUGGGGGCUAGGUUCCCAGGAGAGGGGACACAGUGAGUCUGUCUUAUUUAUCUCCAUUCUCUCAGCUCUGGCUGCUGUCCAGCACAUAGAAGGCACUCAAUCAUUAGCCACUGCCUUAGACAAUGGGACAGAAAAGUGGUUCAGUCUCUGGUGUUUGGAACCUAGGAACCUCGGUUCGAAUCACAGCCUGUCCACUCACGUGCCGUGUGACUCUGGGCAGGUCGCGUCACCUCUCUGAGGUUCAGUUUCCUGGAAUGUAGGGCAGGAACUAACUUCAGGGGGCCUGGGGGUGGUUAAGAAGCUGACGGGCGAAAAGAGCCUGACUCAGGCUGAGCGCCUUUCCAGCUCUAGCUCUUGGAGUUAAUAUUGUCAUCUUGAUGUCAGGGAGCCCAGGCAAACACUCGGAUCUCCACUCACCUUGCAGGGAAUGGGGAGGACUCCCCAGAUCACCUCCAUGCCUCGUCCACACGAGGACCUAGGGAUCAGAAAUGGGGGUGUUGUAAGGGACGGUAGAGCAGCAUCUAGUGGAAGGGAAGGACAUUUGGAAGAGAAAGUUUCAGAGGCUGGGACAGAGGUUGGCACAGAAGCCAGGAAUGUGACCAGCAUGAGCUGGUGGCCUCAGCACAGGAGGUUAGACAAGGUCCCCUUAACGGGACCCAAGACUCAGGGCCAGUGCCGGAACAGCCUUCUCCCGGCCUCCCUCCCUCCUGGCCUCCCCAGGUGCUGGGUCUCCGGGUCCGCGGGCUCAGAGGCCCAUCUGCCCUGUUCUGCUCCGUCUGUACUGUGUCCAGCUAAGGGCACUGCCUCCGCUGCCCCCACGUCCCCAGCGCUCAGGAUGCCCGGGCAGGAGAGGGCUCUGUGCAGGGCGCAACUGGGCGUCUCCAUGGCUCUGGGCCGCCCGUCAGCAGCUGGGCCUGCGUCCCUCUGGACACCAGGUCCUUCCUUGGGGUUCUGGCUCUGCUGGUCUCUGCAGGAAUGUUCAAGAAUGCUGUCCCUUCCCCUUUCCCCACCACCCCCUGCCCUCCCUCACACCCCUGCCCACAGCCCUUCCCCUCUGCCUUCUGCCAAAAGAAUGCAGAACGAAGCAGCGUUCUCUCCUGGCCUGGUCUGCCUGGGAGAGUGGUGAGAAGAGACAGUUCUCUCAGGUUCAUGAAGUAAACAUUUGGUAGCAGAGGUCGUGAGGGUCUGGGGCUCCUUCGGGAAAUCCUGGAGUGGGGUCACAGGCUGUGGGUAAGGAGUGGACCGUCUAGGAGGCGAUGGGACUCUGUCCCCUGUCCCUGCAGGGUCUAGGGACGGAUGAGGAGUCCUAGAGCCCGGAUUUGGGGGAAAAGGAAGGAGCAGGGAAGGUGCCCCCUCAGAGCCAGUACAACCCCUCCCUGAGUCAGGCGGGCCUUAGCCCAGACUGCUUGGAUGGUUACUCAGACCAACAGUCAGUGAAACACUGAGAGUCCCAGACUUCAUUCGAUAAACCACCAAAGCACCAGCCCAACAGGCCACGUUCCCAGUUGACUCACAUUAGCUGCUCAGCCAGGGGUGGCCAGUUGAAGGGAACCUAAUUCUUGGUAGAGCCGUCGUGUGACGGUUGGUUUGGGACGUCCUGGCUUCUGAGUCAGCUUGGGAGCCAAGCAGACGCCUGGCCACUGACGGUGCUCAGCUGGCCAUUGGGGAAGGCUCCACACGAGGUGGCUUAUGGUGUGAAGGUGUGGGUAAGGAUGUGCACGGCUGGGCUCCUUCCCCUGCUCCUUCAGUGGGGCUUGGUUUGGGGAAAACAGUGUCAUGUUUUGGGUCAGGGAUUGAUAGACCCAGAGAAGAGGCUGAGCUGCGAUUCAGGCCGCUGUUCUGGCUCAGACGCCUCCUCCAGGAGGAACGUUGGGGCAGGAGGAGUUGAGGAUUGGAGGGAGGGAAGCCCUUGGUUCAGGAGUCAAGGGCAUGAUCCAAUGGACUUGCUUGGGGCUUCAGGGAUCUCUGUCUCCGGGAACCCGUUGCAUUCCUGUCCCAGAUCCAUCACUCAUCGGUGUUGUGAAUCUCUGAAGGUCUCUAAGGUUCCAUGCCGGCAACUGUAAGAUAGGGGUCCCCGGGCCCUGCUCUGAAGCAGGCUCCAGGCUCUGAGCUGUCAGCCCAGAGCCUGACGCGGGGCUCAAACCUAGGCAUUGUGAGAUCACGACCUGAGCUGAAGUCAGGACACUUAACCGACUGAGCCACCCAGGCACCCGUAUCUGCUGGGUUUUUUAAGUGCACACUGCGAGAUCCUGGAGCGCACGAUCAGCUGGUGGACAGGAGAUCAACAGUUUGAACUGUGAAUAAGUCAUUACUACUUUCGCUGUGAUCUUCUGCCGGCCAGGUGCCCACUAGCUCUUAUUGUGUGAAUGCAUUUCCCAGAGUGGUGUGAGAUGGAUGUGGAAGGACAAUGUGUUCCUCAUCUAAGAAGACACACACCUCACCCCCAGCAGCGGGUAGCAAAAACAGCAUCCUGCCGCACCCCAGGGUGCACCCCGCAAACAAACCAAUGGAAGGUGCUGUGGAAAUUCAAUCAUCAAGCAAAUUCAAUACUGAUGGAAGUUUAUUCAGUGUACCCGUAUAACGGAAAAGGGAUUGAUGGAUUUCACGCAGGAUGAUCUGACAGUGUAUAUCAUGGAUGGCACAUGCAGUUUCCACGGUGGGGAGAGUGUCAGUUGGGAGUUUGUUACCAACAGAUACCUGAGUCAAGAGGGCACUCAAAAAUGACAGCAUCCAUUCCAAACUGGACAGCAGUGAACAUCUUGGCAUUUCUCUUCCUUGGAAAAGAAUUUUAUAAUUGCCAAUCAAAAUGGACCUGAGACCUACCGUCCAGGAAAAGUUGGUGCCUUUUGGCAUAAGUACACUUGCUCUACUCUUGCUUUUGGGUUCCCUUGAGUCGACUGCCUUUUCCCAUCUGGUUUUCUAGACUCACCAAGAGAACAAAAGCCCCAUGCAAGCAGAAUACAGUAUGACCUGAC